Molecule: long non-coding RNA, 1804 nt
Filed under: Oryctolagus cuniculus (rabbit)
Lineage: Eukaryota; Metazoa; Chordata; Mammalia; Lagomorpha; Leporidae
Description: lncRNA (ENSOCUG00000032743.1)
Source: RNAcentral
GGGGAAAGGAGCUUGGAGCGGGAAAGCUAAGUUUCAGUUUGGGACUUGUUACAUUUUACAUGGCUAUUGGAUGUAAUUAUUAGGGCAGCAUGAAGGAAUUCGACAGGUGGGCCUGCCCAGGUGCACGGACUUCGGGGACAGAGAGAGGUAGUCCUCACCGGGAAGAGAGUUACUUCCCAGAGACAAGUACGCUACGGAAGAAGCCUUGCCAGUCCAGGAGGUUAGUGAUCUCUGCACAGCUUCCAAGGAAAAAUGUUCACUUCUAGGUAGAGUGAGUACGGAAGGGGGCGCAAGGAGGGGGUUGGAGAUGUGAACUUGGGAGACAUGAAUGUGAAGUGGAGACUGCAUGAGGUCAUUAUGGUCUAGAUGAAAACCUACAGCUCAUAGUCGACCGCCUUUGUCCAUUCAAGUUGUCCCAGAACGCAGUCACGCCCAUUUGUUCACCUAUUGCCCGAGUCAGCUUUACCACUACCGCUGCACCGCGCCUCCAAAGAAAGAGCUGCUAACAGUUUCUUCCCAAAAUCAAUAGGGUGGAGGACUGUGUUUUGCUCAGAAGGCAGGAAUGAAGGAAGGAACCACUUGCUAAGCUGUCAUUCAGCUCAUCCCAGUGACACCUGUGGAUCACCAGGCCUGAGACUGUUUCUCCCAUCUGUAGGAAUUAAGAAUGACCUUGACUAUUCUGAUUUCUCUCCUCCAUCUGCAUUGCAUCAGGCCGCACUGGAACUAGAAAAUGAUCAGGAAAAGAAAACAUGGGAAGAGAGUUUUGCUUACAGCAAUAGAUGUGACAGAUCAUAGUACAAAACAGGAUUCUUGUGAAAUAACGUUUUGGUCCAAGAAAGGAUGGAGCUAACAAAGAUAAUGAAGUAUCUUCCCUCUUGUAAACCUUCUACACCAAAUGGUGUUAUGAGGACAGCGGUAAAAAUGCUAGAAUUUCAACUACUCCUGCAAGGGAUCCAUGCAAAAUCUCUCUCAUUUUCAAGAUGACUGCAUUGCCCAUCACAGCACAUAGAAGUAAUCCACAUAUUUGAGGCGACCUUGUUAGAACUAUGUGCCUUAGAAACGGUUGAGCUUGAGCAUGGCUUAGAAGGAGGACUGUUGUGUGGACCUGCCAUGGUCAAGGGACAUCACCUAUUCCAGCAUCAGUAACGUGUCUCCCACUGCUUUGAAGCAGACAUGGAGGAAUUCCCUAACACCCUGAGUCCCCACCUCAAACAAGUGGAGAAGCUGAGAGACGUCCUCCAAAUGGUUCUGGCUGUGUUCAUUGCAUGGAGGACGAUGUCAACCGAGGGAACCCCUUCCUUGUGAACUUCUUCUUGGAAAUUGCAGUGGCUUCUUGGGAACAAAGUGUCACCUAGAAGAGAUGCACAGUAGCUGAGCAUAGCAGACCCCGAUCGUGCCCUGCCCAUGUCGCCUCAUCGCUGCCCAUCCCCUGCCAUCAGAUGGCUUCUUGCUGUGAACGUCAGGCUCUCCACCUGUGAAUAUUUUCCGGCUGCUAAAGUAGGCUGGGUCCAUGCACCAGGCAGCCCCUGAGUGCUGGAAAAGUUAAUACCCCCAGGGGAAUAACCCUUAACCAGAGACAGAUGGGAGUUGUAGUUAAUGCUGGAGCUUGUUCACCCCUGUCUUGGGAACUUCUGAAGCGUGGUCUACACUUGCCACAAGAGCUCAGCCAGAGGCCCGCAGCGGUAGCCUGCUGGAUAGUGCACUCUUGACUGUCUUCUUCCACUCCCCGACUCACUUUCUCCAUUCCCCGACAGGUGCUUCCUGGGACCACUUCCAGAAUAAACUACUUGCACUCAAAUCCGCA